RNAcentral lists this ribosomal RNA (432 nucleotides) under uncultured bacterium. RNAcentral's name for it is "partial 16S ribosomal RNA". It matches the Rfam family "Bacterial small subunit ribosomal RNA", at positions 29 to 507 of the family's 1533-position model. The record is from RNAcentral.
ACGAACGCUGGCGGCAGGCCUAACCCAUGCAAGUCGAGCGAGGACUUCGGUCCUAGCGGCGGACGGGUGAGUAACGCGUGGGAACGUGCCCUUUGCUUCGGAAUAGCCCUGGGAAACUGGGAGUAAUACCGGAUGAGCCCUUUGGGGGAAAGAUUUAUCGGCGAAGGAUCGGCCCGCGUUGGAUUAGGUAGUUGGUGGGGUAAUGGCCUACCAAGCCGACGAUCCAUAGCUGGUUUGAGAGGAUGAUCAGCCACACUGGGACUGAGACACGGCCCAGACUCCUACGGGAGGCAGCAGUGGGGAAUCUUAGACAAUGGGGGAAACCCUGAUCUAGCCAUGCCGCGUGAGCGAUGAAGGCCUUAGGGUUGUAAAGCUCUUUCAGCUGGGAAGAUAAUGACGGUACCAGCAGAAGAAGCCCCGGCUAACUCCGUG